Molecule: ribosomal RNA, 254 nt
Filed under: uncultured bacterium
Lineage: Bacteria
Description: partial 16S ribosomal RNA
Rfam family: Bacterial small subunit ribosomal RNA
Source: RNAcentral
CACGUAGGGGGCGAGCGUUGUCCGGAUUUAUUGGGCGUAAAGAGCUCGUAGGCGGUUUCGUAAGUCGGAUGUGAAAACUCCAGGCUCAACUUGGAGACGCCAUUCGAUACUGCGAUGACUUGAGUCCGGUAGGGGAGUGUGGAAUUCCUGGUGUAGCGGCGAAAUGCGCAGAUAUCAGGAGGAACACCGGCGGCGAAAGCGGCUCUCUGGAACGGUACUGACGCUGAGACGCGAAAGCGUGGGGAGCGAACAGG